Molecule: ribosomal RNA, 207 nt
Filed under: uncultured bacterium
Lineage: Bacteria
Description: partial 16S ribosomal RNA
Rfam family: Bacterial small subunit ribosomal RNA
Source: RNAcentral
CGCGUAGGCGGCUGCGCAAGUCGAACGUGAAAUCCCUCGGCUCAACCGGGGAACUGCGUCCGAUACUGCGUGGCUCGAGUCCCGGAGAGGGUAGCGGAAUUCCCAGUGUAGCGGUGAAAUGCGUAGAUAUUGGGAGGAACACCAGUGGCGAAGGCGGUUACCUGGACGGGUACUGACGCUGAGGCGCGAAAGCUAGGGGAGCAAACA